RNAcentral lists this ribosomal RNA (208 nucleotides) under uncultured bacterium. RNAcentral describes it as "partial 16S ribosomal RNA". It matches the Rfam family "Bacterial small subunit ribosomal RNA", at positions 568 to 774 of the family's 1533-position model. The record is from RNAcentral.
CGUGUAGGCGGGGAGUGCAAGUCAGAUGUGAAAUCCCGUGGCUCAACCACGGAAUUGCAACUGAAACUGUAUCUCUUGAGUACUGGAUGGGAAAGUGGAAUUCCUAGUGUAGCGGUGAAAUGCGUAGAUAUUAGGAGGAACACCGGUGGCGAAGGCGACUUUCUGGACAGUAACUGACGCUGAGACGCGAAAGCGUGGGGAGCAAACA